This 462-nucleotide ribosomal RNA is filed under the name Vreelandella stevensii. Its description in RNAcentral is "partial 16S ribosomal RNA". It matches the Rfam family "Bacterial small subunit ribosomal RNA", at positions 341 to 795 of the family's 1533-position model. Lineage: Bacteria; Pseudomonadati; Pseudomonadota; Gammaproteobacteria; Oceanospirillales; Halomonadaceae. The record is from RNAcentral.
CCUAGUGGCUGCAGUGGGGAAUAUUGGACAAUGGGCGAAAGCCUGAUCCAGCCAUGCCGCGUGUGUGAAGAAGGCCUUCGGGUUGUAAAGCACUUUCAGUGGGGAAGAAAGCCUUGGGGCUAAUACCCUCGAGGAAGGACAUCACCCACAGAAGAAGCACCGGCUAACUCCGUGCCAGCAGCCGCGGUAAUACGGAGGGUGCGAGCGUUAAUCGGAAUUACUGGGCGUAAAGCGCGCGUAGGCGGUCUGAUAAGCCGGUUGUGAAAGCCCCGGGCUCAACCUGGGAACGGCAUCCGGAACUGUCAGGCUAGAGUGCAGGAGAGGAAGGUAGAAUUCCCGGUGUAGCGGUGAAAUGCGUAGAGAUCGGGAGGAAUACCAGUGGCGAAGGCGGCCUUCUGGACUGACACUGACGCUGAGGUGCGAAAGCGUGGGUAGCAAACAGGAUUAGAUACCCGAGUAGUC